RNAcentral lists this ribosomal RNA (208 nucleotides) under uncultured Pseudomonadota bacterium. RNAcentral's name for it is "uncultured proteobacterium partial 16S ribosomal RNA". It matches the Rfam family "Bacterial small subunit ribosomal RNA", at positions 568 to 775 of the family's 1533-position model. The record is from RNAcentral. Lineage: Bacteria; Pseudomonadati; Pseudomonadota.
CGUGUAGGCGGCUUGGUAAGUCAGAUGUGAAAGCCCUGGGCUCAACCCGGGAAGUGCAUUUGAAACUGUCAGGCUCGAGUAGGGGAGAGGGAAGUGGAAUUCCUGGUGUAGAGGUGAAAUUCGUAGAUAUCAGGAGGAACACCGGUGGCGAAGGCGACUUCCUGGCCCUAUACUGACGCUGAGACGCGAGAGCGUGGGUAGCAAACAG